AUCCAGCUGACGAGUCCUAAAUAGGACGAAAUGCACAUCCUGGAU
Molecule: non-coding RNA, 45 nt
Filed under: Schistosoma haematobium
Lineage: Eukaryota; Metazoa; Platyhelminthes; Trematoda; Strigeidida; Schistosomatidae
Source: RNAcentral